Molecule: small RNA, 39 nt
Filed under: Arabidopsis thaliana (thale cress)
Lineage: Eukaryota; Viridiplantae; Streptophyta; Magnoliopsida; Brassicales; Brassicaceae
Description: ATSL083030
Source: RNAcentral
GUCAAUUGUUUCUUCUUCAAGACAAUGGAACUCGUGGCA